GGGAGAAAUGGCCUUUUCAAAAGAUGUUGGGUGAAAUUCAGCAUUGCACAAGGUGGCAUAAUCUUAGUCUCCAUCCACCUACACCUCCAAAAAAAUCUGUUCUGGAGAAUCUGUGGAGAUGGUGCUGUAGGAGAUAAGAAUCCAGUUGCAGAAGUCCUUUACACUCAUGCAUGAGCGGUGCUGGACUGCUUUCCCCCACAGAAAUGAAAACAAUAAUCCAGAUCAACUGCGUGUACUUGAAAAGUUUUAACACAGUUCAAAAGAGCUUCAUCUUGGUAUUAAGUCUCCUACCAUAAUAACAAAUAGCAGAUAAGCUCUGGACGUUAUAGUGGAGAACAGAGGAGGAGUCGACACAAGACACACUGAAAGAAAGUGGGAGGCUAGAAUACCAAAGUAUAUCAUCAGACGGUAAGUGGGAAUUAAGUCUUUUAAGUGUAUAUUUACAUUCAGAGUGUGUUUAUACAAGUUACUCUGUGAACGAUUUUGCUUUAAAGCAGAGCAAGAUAGUAUGAAAACAAUUAGGACAAAGCGCAAAGGGAGUUCUGCUAGCACUUCUCAUUUAGAUUCCUUCUGUCAAAAGCCGUCCCAGGAAGACUUGAUGUCCGUAAAUGCCUGGCUAAGGGGGAGGUGGGAGUUAAAUUCGGCACAAGUUGUUUUCCUAAGCACACAUAUGGACUAGUUGGAAGAAAGAUGUGAGCGCGUUGCAGUAAAACCAAUAUGCAAACAAACAUGAAAUAAGGCAUUUUAUAAAUACCAGGUGUGGGGAGCCUUUGGCCUUCCAGGUGUUGCUGAACUACAACUCCCAUUAUCCCUGGCUAUUGGCCAUGCUAGGUAGAGAUUAUGGGAGUUGUGUAGUCCAGCAACAUCAGGCGGGCCUAAGGUUCCCUACACUAGUUUUAUGCAUACCAUUUCUAUGCCUGUUCCUCAGUUGGUGAUUUUCAGACUACAAAACUGCAGUAUAUUUAAGAUAAGACAAAACUGCCCCUGUUAAGAUGAGAGUUGGAACAAAUAUUACAGCUAAAUAAAAACCACCUGAAAAUAGUUUUACAAUAUAACCCCAAUUUGGAGUAUGUUGGAAAGAACAGCAUGGCUAUAAUAAAAGUUAAGAAGGAGGAUGUUUUCAGCAUUCUUCCUGGCUAGAAUAUAACCAGACAAUGACUCUUCAGGAAAUAUUGUUAUAUUUUGGAAGGGUAAAAAUAGAUACAAUGUCUAAAUUCAGGCCGUGAUACAAGAAACAAUAUAACCCAGAAUGUAGGGCACCAUAUCUUAAAAACAACACCCCAUAAAUAGUUUGUGUCCUUAACAGAUAGAAGAACACAGUUUUGAAAUGUACAUAUUGGAACAAGGUCAUUUGAAAUCAAUGUGAACAAAGUGUUAAGUGGCUUUUCUGGUGCUUCCUUGCUCUAUUGCAAAAUAAAGGCAUUUUCACUAUGA
Long non-coding RNA from Podarcis raffonei (Aeolian wall lizard), 1434 nucleotides. RefSeq lists it as uncharacterized. The record is from RefSeq and is a predicted model, not a curated record. The transcript has 2 exons. Lineage: Eukaryota; Metazoa; Chordata; Lepidosauria; Squamata; Lacertidae.